This 558-nucleotide ribosomal RNA is filed under the name uncultured bacterium. RNAcentral describes it as "bacterial SSU rRNA". It matches the Rfam family "Bacterial small subunit ribosomal RNA", at positions 342 to 916 of the family's 1533-position model. The record is from RNAcentral.
CGGGAGGCAGCAGUUAGGAAUCUUCGGCAAUGGACGAAAGUCUGACCGAGCGACGCCGCGUGGAGGAUGAAGCCUUUCGGGGUGUAAACUCCUUUUCUGCGGGAAGAUAAUGACGGUACCGCAGGAAUAAGCACCGGCUAACUACGUGCCAGCAGCCGCGGUAAUACGUAGGGUGCAAGCGUUAUCCAGAUUUACUGGGCGUAAAGCGCGCGCAGGCGGAUGAUUAAGUCAGCUGUGAAAGCCCCCGGCUCAACUGGGGAGGGUCGGCUGAAACUGGUCAACUUGAGGGCAACAGAGGAGUGUAGAAUUGCGGGUGUAGUGGUGAAAUGCGUAGAUAUCCGCAGGAAUACCGGUGGCGAAGGCGGCACUCUGGGUUGUACCUGACGCUGAGGCGCGAAGGCUAGGGGAGCAAACAGGAUUAGAUACCCUGGUAGUCCUAGCAGUAAACGAUGUACACUAGGUGUGGGGGGUAAUGACCCCCUCCGUGCCGUAGCUAACGCAUUAAGUGUACCGCCUGGGGAGUACGGUCGCAAGGCUAAAACUCAAAGGAAUUGACGG